RNAcentral lists this long non-coding RNA (1073 nucleotides) under Sorghum bicolor (sorghum). Its description in RNAcentral is "long non-coding RNA (SBIC_LNC015227)". The record is from RNAcentral. Lineage: Eukaryota; Viridiplantae; Streptophyta; Magnoliopsida; Poales; Poaceae.
UGUGUUGAGCAGGCUAGUGCAUAUAUAACCCAUCUGUAAUCAGCUCCAUUCCAGCAAAUACAAAUUCAUGUAAAAUCCAACACACCUAGCUGGCUACUCAAACAAUUAAUCAAGAAACAAGCACCACCAUCCUCUCUCGAAGCAGCAACCUGUCUGCGAGUAAUUUCUUAGUGCAAGUUCCUUAUUGCAGUCCCACAUAAAUACAAGCAACACUGCAUCUCAAUGGUUUGCUUACACAUUUCAUUAGAGCAAACAUUUUGUUAUACCAUCUAUUCAGUUUGCUACCAAACAAUAAAGUGGUAAAGCAAUUAUUUAUUAAGUGCCAGAUUUAGUAUAAUAUAUCGAUGAUAAAAACAAGUGAAGCCUACUUCUCAAUCGGGGCUAGCAGCAAUCAGAUACAUGGGACUGCAAUAAAGCAGUUUCUUCUUUUGCUACCUGAAACUCAUUUCAUGAAAACAAGUGAAGCCUACUUCUCUCAAUAGGAUAGCUGAUGCAUUGAUAUCGAAAUACUACAUGGUAAUUGGUAACUGUAUUUCAGUUCCUUCUUUUGCUACCUGAAACUCGUUUUAUGAAAACCUGGAAAUACAUUUCAACUCACUUGGUUGUGUCGGCAAGAAGAGAGGAGCAACAGCAGCGGCACCACGCCACUACCCUUGAGUCUCGUCUUGUUUUCAUGUAUGAUCAUAUCCAUGCAAUUGAAACUAUAUCCAUAAAAAUGUUUCUUCUUAACUUCAAAAACCAAUAAUGCAUUACUAAAAUAAUGUGAAUCCCAUAAAAGGCUGGUCUGAUAACAAGUAUUGAACACAAAUGGUACAGUCAACUAACAGAGAACAAUUGCCCAAUCAAGAAAAAAAUAAGCCAUGUUUCAACUAAAAAACAAUGGAUCGAUGACCAUUUUCAGUAUAAGCAACAUGAAAAGACUACAUUCUAGUAAGCACAAUUUUCUUCGCAAAAUUCACAUCUAGCUGUACACUUCAGGUUAGAAAUUUUCUUCCCAAUAAGUAAAAUAGUCAUGUGCCAUAAUCAAUAUUUAUUAGGAAGCUAGUGUGCUGGAGACAUAGGUUGUAAUUAGC